Vidua macroura (Pin-tailed whydah) is the source of this 470-nucleotide long non-coding RNA. RefSeq lists it as uncharacterized. The record is from RefSeq and is a predicted model, not a curated record. Lineage: Eukaryota; Metazoa; Chordata; Aves; Passeriformes; Viduidae. The transcript has 4 exons.
AACCGGGCGUGAGGGGAGCCCUCGGGAGGUGCCCGCCAAGACGGCGCCGAGUCCUGAGGGAGCCCAGACCCGUGAGGCGGGGGUCUGCCAGCAGCAAGGGUGGCUACAGGAAUGGACUUUCAAUUGCCUUGAGUAUUUCCUUUGAGAGCAAAACAUAAAAGUACAGCUGAAAGUCAAUGAGAAAUGCUCUUGCCUCAUAAAUGUAUGCUCAGAGCAAGGCUUUCACAUAUCAAGGUCACUCAUAAUACCUUGGAAUUCAUCCUUGGAAGGAUGACUUGGAAGUCAUCCUUGCAGAAGCCUUCAUGAUACAUCUCUCCAUUUCAAGGGUUGUGUUGUAGAUGCAAAGACCUCCUUGUUGAAACCAAGUGAUUUAGAGUUAAGAACCAGCAACAUGCAAGAAACUUCUAGUAACAACUUCCCUUGUGGAACAGCUUGUAUGAUACACGUCAAAUUAUUAUUUUUCUGCUUUA